RNAcentral lists this transfer RNA (73 nucleotides) under Cordylochernes scorpioides. RNAcentral's name for it is "tRNA-Thr". Lineage: Eukaryota; Metazoa; Arthropoda; Arachnida; Pseudoscorpiones; Chernetidae. The record is from RNAcentral.
GUCCAGGGAUGGGAAUCGAACCCACUGUGUUCCGCUUACCGGGCAGAUGCCAUGUCCACUAGGCUACCCUAUA